Molecule: microRNA precursor, 205 nt
Filed under: Oryza brachyantha (malo sina)
Lineage: Eukaryota; Viridiplantae; Streptophyta; Magnoliopsida; Poales; Poaceae
Description: MIR812 microRNA precursor family
Rfam family: MIR812 microRNA precursor family
Source: Rfam by way of RNAcentral
AAUAAACCAAUUUUUCACUUUUUAUCUAUAAUAUUUGGCUUUGCGUCUUAUUAAAAAAAUUUGUGAUUAACACUUUUGUUUUUAUUAGAUAAUAAAUCAUGAAUAGUACUUUAUAUGUGACUAAUUUUUUAAAAUUUUUUGAAUUUUUUUUUAAAUAAGACGGAUGGUCAAACAUGGGAAACGGAAACCGAAAAUUUGGUUUAUU